AAGGAUUUAAGUUAAUUUAAACUAUUAACCUUCAAAGUUAAAAAUAGAACUUUUCUAAGCCUUA
Molecule: transfer RNA, 64 nt
Filed under: Chaetocnema paganettii
Lineage: Eukaryota; Metazoa; Arthropoda; Insecta; Coleoptera; Chrysomelidae
Description: tRNA-Trp
Source: RNAcentral